AGUGAACGCUGGCGGUAGGCCUAACACAUGCAAGUCGAACGGCAGCACAGGAGAGCUUGCUCUCUGGGUGGCGAGUGGCGGACGGGUGAGGAAUACAUCGGAAUCUACUCUGUCGUGGGGGAUAACGUAGGGAAACUUACGCUAAUACCGCAUACGACCUACGGGUGAAAGCAGGGGACCUUCGGGCCUUGCGCGAUUGAAUGAGCCGAUGUCGGAUUAGCUAGUUGGCGGGGUAAAGGCCCACCAAGGCGACGAUCCGUAGCUGGUCUGAGAGGAUGAUCAGCGACACUGUAACUGAGACACGGGCCAAAAUCCUACGAGAGGCAGCAGUGGGGAAGAUUGGACAGUGGGCGCAAGCCUGAUCCAGCCAUACCGCGUGGGUGAAGAAGGCCUUCCGGUUGUAAAGCCCUUUUGUUGGGAAAGAAAUCCAGCUGGCUAAUACCCGGUUGGGAUGACGGUACCCAAAGAAUAAGCACCGGCUAACUUCGUGUCAGCCGCCGCAGUAA
RNAcentral lists this ribosomal RNA (506 nucleotides) under uncultured bacterium. RNAcentral's name for it is "partial 16S ribosomal RNA". It matches the Rfam family "Bacterial small subunit ribosomal RNA", at positions 29 to 523 of the family's 1533-position model. The record is from RNAcentral.